Long non-coding RNA from Parus major (Great Tit), 2446 nucleotides. The record is from Ensembl. NCBI's taxonomy places the organism in Eukaryota, Metazoa, Chordata, Aves, Passeriformes, Paridae.
GCAGGAUGCGUCCCGAGGGUGCUGAGCACCUUCCAGAAGGUGCUGAGCUUCUUCCAGAAGCUGCAGGAUCCGUCCCGAGGGUGCUGACAGCCAUCCAGAAAAUGCAGGAUCUGUCCAGAGGGUGUGAGCGCGUUCCAGAAGGUGCUGGAUCCGUCCCGAGGGUGCUGAGCGCCUUCCAGAAGUUCCUGGAUCUGUUCCGCGGGGUUCUAGACUAUCCUCCCUGGUGCUGAGAUUCUAGAUCACCCAGUGAGGCUCUGGACUAUCCUGCCUGGUGCUGAGUGGUGCUGAGGUUCUUGAUCACCUGGCGGGGUUCCCGACUAUUCUGACUGGUGCUGAGGUUCUAGAUCACCCAGUGGGGUUCCAGACUAUCCUGACUGGUGCUGAGCGGUGCUGAGGUUCUAGAUCUUUCUGUGGGUCCUGAGUGCCUGACAGAGAGUGCAGAAUGCAUCCCGAGGGUGCUGAGCACCUUCCCGAAGGUGCAGGAUGAGUCCCGAGGGUGCUCAGCACCAUCCCGAGGGUGCAGGAUGAGUGCCGAGAGUGCUGAGCACCUUCCCGAGGGGAAAAUGGGGAUUUGGGGAGGGAAAAUGGGGAUUUGGGGAGGGAAAAUGGGAACUGUCCCCACCCAAAGUGUCACAAAGAGGAUUUUGGGCAGGAAAAAUGGGAUUUAACCCUGUCCAUGUCCCCAGGUGUGUCCCAGGUGUUCCCAGCUGUCCUCAGGUGUGUCCCCAGCUGUCCCCAGGUGUUCCCAGGUGUCCCCAGGUGUGUCCCCAGGCGUCCCCAGUGUCACUCACAUUGUGUUUCUGGAAGAAGGUCUGGUACCGGAUGACACCGACCCAGACGAGCAGCGUGGUUGUCCCCAGCAGGAUGCUGCACACGUCGUAGUCCGAGAAGUUCUGUGGGGACACCGCGGGGACACCGCGGGGACAGAGUGGGGACACCGCGGGGACAGAGUGGGGACAGCGCGGGGGACAGAGUGGGGACAGCGUGGGGGACAGAGUCGGGACAGUGUAGUGACACCGCGGGGACAGCGUGGGGACAGCGCCACCCAGACAGGGCCAGCACCCAGGGGUCACAAUGGCCACCCAGAGAUGGUGUCCCCGUCCCCAGGGCUGACCUUGGCCUCGAUGCUGAUCUUGAGGACGGUGCCCAGCACGGUCAGGAGGUCGCUGGUGACCAGCAGCAGGUACCACCCAUUGAGGAACUCCAGCCGCUCCCACANNNNNNNNNNNNNNNNNNNNNNNNNNNNNNNNNNNNNNNNNNNNNNNNNNNNNNNNNNNNNNNNNNNNNNNNNNNNNNNNNNNNNNNNNNNNNNNNNNNNGGAUGCGUCCCGAGGGUGCUGAGCGCCAUCCAGAAGGUGCCGGAUGCGUCCCGAGGGUGCUGAGCGCCAUCCAGAAGGUGCCGGAUUUGUCCCGAGGGUGCUGAGCACCUUCCAGAGGGUGCAGGACGCAACCCGAGGGUGCUGAGCGCCUUCUGGAAGGUCCUGGAUCUGUCCCGAGGGUGCUGAGUGUUGAGGGCUUUUGCAGGUGUGCUUAGCUUACAGCCUCUUUACAGUGCAUGCUGUCCCUAACAGUAGACUGCCAAAGAAAAGAAGGUGAUAAGUAUUCCUGCUUGUUGAGCAAGAACAAGGAUCAAACAAAGGUCUGCAAGCAUCUAGUAAUUUGUUUUAAGAUAAGGAUAGUAACGUGUUUAGAGAAGAACGAAAACAGUGUUAUAAACUAGAGCUAGUUUAUAACAAAAGUACAUUUCAUUUUUAUUUUUUUUAAGAAAACGGGGGAGAUUGAUGCCCUAAAAGCAUUUAAUUAGUGUAAUUCAUUAACUUUAAGGAGAGAAGUGUCUGUGUUUUGUUGGCAAGUUCAAAAAGGUCACCUGUUCAUCUGACCAGACUGUGGGCCUUUGAACACAUGAGAUCCACUGCGUGCAGCUUCCCUGGAACAGUUAAUGGGCACAGGUAUUUAUAGUGACCCACGGUGACAAGCUGCACUGAAUACUCGUGUAUUAGCACAAUCUAAGGCUGCUGCCUUAGAAGCCUCUCACAAUUAGUAAAGAGAGUAAAAUUUAUCGUAGUUAUUAAAAUAGCUGAUUCCAAAUACCGUAUUUUGUGUAUGAAGCAUUAUAAAGAGUAUUAUAGCGAUAAUGAAUCUUUGUGUUUUGAUGCCGUUUGUAACGAAUCAAAGACUAGAAACUUGAGCUAAUUUUUAUGUUACAUAAGCCAAUUGAACUAAUAAUCCUGCCUUUUGUUUGCACCUGACAGCAGCUACUGAUCCUUUUCGCACCUGUUUAGUUGAAACUCCUGAGUAUAACCUUAGCGAUUUUAAUAGUUGGGCCACCAACAAUUGUUCUACUGCUAAAAACACUAGUCAUUGUACUGCCAUGCUAUUAGCAAGCUUAACUAAAUCUUGCCAUGAGAUCCUUAAGAAAUAAAUUUACCUCGUAGCAAGCGAUUCCA